AACGCACCUUGCGCUCCUUGGUAUUCCGAGGAGCACGCCCGUUUGAGUGUCAUGGUAUUCUCAACCUUCAUAACUUUUGUUAUCGAAGGCUUGGACUUGGAGGUCGUGCUGGCUCUCGUUAGUCAGCUCCUCUGAAAUGCAUUAGCGUGAACGUUUACGGAUCGCUAUCAGUGUGAUAAUUAUCUGCGCUGUUAGUGUUGAAGUAUGUUUAGUGUCGCGCUUCUAAUCGUCCUUCAGUUGGACAAUUUACUUGACAUCUGGCCUCAAAUCGGGCGGGACUACCCGCUGAACUUAA
Molecule: unclassified non-coding RNA, 295 nt
Filed under: uncultured fungus
Lineage: Eukaryota; Fungi
Description: partial contains 5.8S ribosomal RNA, internal transcribed spacer 2, and large subunit ribosomal RNA
Source: RNAcentral